GGUUAGCACUGUCUGCGUGAGUGAUGGCAGUGGAGCUCUUUUUUUGAUUCCGUUUUUUCGGAAUCAAAAAAAAGCGGGAACGUACAGCACGACCCUCU
This 98-nucleotide small RNA is filed under the name Flavobacterium sp. 9R. Its description in RNAcentral is "Flavo-1". It matches the Rfam family "Flavo-1 RNA". The record is from RNAcentral. Lineage: Bacteria; Pseudomonadati; Bacteroidota; Flavobacteriia; Flavobacteriales; Flavobacteriaceae.